GUAAGAACACUGUUAUGGGAAGGGGGACCCUCCAGGAAGACAGCGGACCCCCUGGAAGAAUGAACUGGGACUCUCAGAAAGGAAAUGCCCCGACAUUAAAGGGGCCUCAUAAACUACAUCCAUCACUCACAAGGCAGGUGCUGCAUCCCUGCCAAAGGUUAGCUAAAGCGCCAGGCGCGUGUGGUCUGACUUCAUGGCUACGAACGCUGCACUUAGAAGGGGCAUUCUGAUGUUUUAGUUGCUUGUCCACCAUAAUAAGUGUCCCUCCUACCAUCCACACGACAGGUAGACCUGAGAAGUGUCUGAGGGAGUGAUGAGAGGACCCGUUCAUCUCAUCUAGGGUUUGCUGAGAAACACGAGAGAAUCAAGAACUCAGAGAGGUCUGUCGCUCUGGCUCCAACCCCCCAGCCCCGCCCCGAAUGCCACCCUUGCAGAGAUAACUGCCCACCCAGCUCCUCCACGCAGAUGCCCAGCGGGCACCCUCAGAUCCCAUUGUUCGCCCUCUAAAAAUCAGCAGGAUCCAAGCACUCCUCGCCUUCUCCCUUGCUGUCUAUCGCCUGCCCCUGAAAUGCCAUCGUCUCUCACCGGGAUCAGGUCCCAGCCUCCUGACCACCCUCCCCGCUGCUGCCCCUGCCCCUUAAAACGUGGAAGUCAGGCCGCGGCGCUCCUCUGCUCACAGCCCUCCGCGGCCCCCACCUCCUCCAGAGCCCCCGGGACCAGGCCCACACCCACCCCUGCCCACAGCACCCACCCCGCUUCUUGCGCUCCCUGCGCCAACCGCACGGGCCUCCUGCUGUUCCUGUGAACGCCGGACGCGCCCUCCCCCCAGCCCCCGCCCCAGGUGGGAUCCUCUCCCUCAGACGAUGCCAGCUCAUUUACUUCUCGGCGAGGGCUUCCCUGUCCACUCUGUCAACGGCACAUCCCAUCCUUUCAAACCCACGACCUUGCCUUUUAAAGAGAUUCACUGCCGACAUACAUUGAUCUACACAUGAA
This is a long non-coding RNA of Balaenoptera musculus (blue whale), 993 nucleotides long. RefSeq lists it as uncharacterized. Lineage: Eukaryota; Metazoa; Chordata; Mammalia; Artiodactyla; Balaenopteridae. The transcript has 3 exons. The record is from RefSeq and is a predicted model, not a curated record.